This 80-nucleotide small nucleolar RNA is filed under the name Callithrix jacchus (white-tufted-ear marmoset). RNAcentral describes it as "Small nucleolar RNA U3 (ENSCJAG00000076108.1)". It matches the Rfam family "Small nucleolar RNA U3", at positions 1 to 80 of the family's 219-position model. Rfam says of the family: Small nucleolar RNAs (snoRNAs) are involved in the processing and modification of rRNA in the nucleolus. There are two main classes of snoRNAs: the box C/D class, and the box H/ACA class. The record is from Rfam by way of RNAcentral. Lineage: Eukaryota; Metazoa; Chordata; Mammalia; Primates; Cebidae.
AAGACUAUACUUUCAGGGAUCAUUUCUAUAGUAUGUUACUAGAGAAGUUUCUCUGAAUGUGUAGAGCACCGGGCUACAGU